Molecule: ribosomal RNA, 379 nt
Filed under: Leptolyngbya sp. AECC1316
Lineage: Bacteria; Bacillati; Cyanobacteriota; Cyanophyceae; Leptolyngbyales; Leptolyngbyaceae
Also listed under: 3 other names
Description: bacterial SSU rRNA
Rfam family: Bacterial small subunit ribosomal RNA
Source: RNAcentral
CGCAAGCCUGACGGAGCAACGCCGCGUGAGGGAGGAAGGCCUGUGGGUUGUAAACCUCUUUUCUCUGGGAAGAAGACCUGACGGUACCAGAGGAAUCAGCAUCGGCUAACUCCGUGCCAGCAGCCGCGGUAAGACGGAGGAUGCAAGCGUUAUCCGGAAUUAUUGGGCGUAAAGCGUCCGCAGGCGGCCAAUUAAGUCUGCUGUCAAAGCCUAGGGCUCAACCCUAGAUCGGCAGUGGAAACUGGUUGGCUAGAGUACGGUAGGGGUAGAGGGAAUUCCCAGUGUAGCGGUGAAAUGCGUAGAUAUUGGGAAGAACACCAGUGGCGAAGGCGCUCUACUGGGCCGAAACUGACGCUGAGGGACGAAAGCUAGGGGAGCG